AUACGGAGGGUGCAAGCGUUACUCGGAAUCACUGGGCGUAAAGCGCGCGCAGGCGGCUAUUUAAGUUGGAUGUGAAAGCCUACGGCUCAACCGUAGAACUGCAUCCAAAACUAUUUAGCUAGAGUGUGGGAGAGGAAGAUGGAAUUAGUUGUGUAGGGGUAAAAUCCGUAGAGAUAACUAGGAAUACCAAAAGCGAGGGCAAUCUUCUGGAACGCUACUGACGCUGAGGCGCGAAAGCGUGGGGAGCAAACAGGAUUAGAAACCCUAGUAGUCC
RNAcentral lists this ribosomal RNA (274 nucleotides) under uncultured bacterium. Its description in RNAcentral is "partial 16S ribosomal RNA". It matches the Rfam family "Bacterial small subunit ribosomal RNA", at positions 523 to 796 of the family's 1533-position model. The record is from RNAcentral.